Molecule: ribosomal RNA, 949 nt
Filed under: Spathularia flavida
Lineage: Eukaryota; Fungi; Ascomycota; Leotiomycetes; Rhytismatales; Cudoniaceae
Description: eukaryotic LSU rRNA
Rfam family: Eukaryotic large subunit ribosomal RNA
Source: RNAcentral
AACUUAAGCAUAUCAAUAAGCGGAGGAAAAGAAACCACCAGGGAUUGCCUCAGUAACGGCGAGUGAAGCGGCAACAGCUCAAAUUUGAAAGCUGGCCCUUUCAGGGUCCGCGUUGUAAUUUGUAGAGGAUGCUUCGGGCGCGGCGCUGGUCUAAGUUCUUUGGAACAAGACGUCAUAGAGGGUGAGAAUCCCGUAUGUGACUAGCUGCCUGUGCCUGUGUGAAGCUCCUUCGACGAGUCGAGUUGUUUGGGAAUGCAGCUCAAAAUGGGUGGUGUACUUCAUCUAAAGCUAAAUAUUGGCCAGAGACCGAUAGCGCACAAGUAGAGUGAUCGAAAGAUGAAAAGCACUUUGGAAAGAGAGUUAAACAGUACGUGAAAUUGUUGAAAGGGAAGCGCUUGCAAUCAGACUUGCGCGGCGUCGAUCAGCCUGGGUUCUCCCUGGUGCACUCGGCGCUGCUCAGGCCAGCAUCAGUUUCAGCGGUUGGAUAAAGGCCUAGGGAACGUGGGUUACUUCGGUGACUGUUAUAGCCCUAGGUGCAAUGCAGCCUGUUGGGACUGAGGACCGCGCUUCGGCUAGGAUGCUGGCGUAAUGGUUGUAAGCGACCCGUCUUGAAACACGGACCAAGGAGUCUAACAUCUAUGCGAGUUUUUGGGUGUCAAACCCAUAAGCGUAAUGAAAGUGAACGGAGGUGAGAACCCUUAAGGGUGCAUCAUCGACCGAUCCUGAUGUCUUCGGAUGGAUUUGAGUAAGAGCAUAGCUGUUGGGACCCGAAAGAUGGUGAUCUAUACUUGAAUAGGGUGAAGCCAGAGGAAACUCUGGUGGAGGCUCGCAGCGGUUCUGACGUGCAAAUCGAUCGUCAAAUUUGGGUAUAGGGGCGAAAGACUAAUCGAACCAUCUAGUAGCUGGUUCACGCCGAAGUUUCCCUAGGAAAUUAAGCUUUUUUUUGAAG